Long non-coding RNA from Scatophagus argus, 195 nucleotides. RefSeq lists it as uncharacterized. The record is from RefSeq and is a predicted model, not a curated record. The transcript has 3 exons. Lineage: Eukaryota; Metazoa; Chordata; Actinopteri; Scatophagidae.
GAAGGCAACAUGCGAGGGAGAAACGUGGUGUGUUGGAGCUUUGAAAUAACCUUCCAUGUUUGUCAUGCUGCCCUCUGUAGCUACGGUCAUCAUUAUACAAUGGCGCCACAGGAGCACAGAUACAGCAAAGGCAGUAAGAAUGACUGUGCCCCAGUGCACAAAGCAAAGCUCCAUAAAGACAUGGCUGGAGGGGUU